Molecule: ribosomal RNA, 494 nt
Filed under: uncultured bacterium
Lineage: Bacteria
Description: partial 16S ribosomal RNA
Rfam family: Bacterial small subunit ribosomal RNA
Source: RNAcentral
GACGAACGCUGGCGGCGUGCUUAACACAUGCAAGUCGAACGGUGAAGCGCCUUCCUUUUUGGUGGGUGUGGAUGAGCGGCGAACGGGUGAGUAACACGUGAGUAACCUGCCCCCUUCUUCUGGAUAACCGCAUGAAAGUGUGGCUAAUACGGGAUAUUCUGGGUCUGUCGCAUGAUGGGUCUGGGAAAGAUAUUGUUUCGGUGGGGGAUGGGCUCGCGGCCUAUCAGCUUGUUGGUGGGGUGAUGGCCCACCAAGGCGGUGACGGGUAGCCGGCCUGAGAGGGUGGACGGUCACACUGGGACUGAGACACGGCCCAGACUCCUACGGGAGGCAGCAGUGGGGAAUAUUGCACAAUGGGCGCAAGCCUGAUGCAGCGACGCCGCGUGAGGGAUGGAGGCCUUCGGGUUGUGAACCUCUUUCGCCGGUGAAGCAGGCCUGCCUCGUUUGUGGGUGGGUUGACGGUAGCUGGAUAAGAAGCGCCGGCUAACUACGUG